GUGGUAUUGUCAAUGUAGCUCAAGUUUCUGGAACUACUCAGGAUCAUUUGCAAGUAUUUCAUAUUGAAACGAAAACGAAGAUGAAAUCAUAUCAAAUCACUCAACAGGUUGUGUUUUGGAAGUGGAUAACCGCAGAGAUGUUAGGCAUAGUCACUCAGACAUCGGUGUAUCAUUGGUCGAUUGAAGGUGAUGGUGAGCCAAUGAAGGUGUUUGAUCGAACAGGUAAUUUGGCAAAUAACCAGAUCAUAAGUCUAUGUGUCUGAGUAUAUGAUGACUAUUGAUGGCUUUGGUGUGUUUCUAUCAUUAGGAAAAGCCCAUUCAAUCAAAGUAGAGAAGAUAUUGUUCAAGGAAAAGUCAUUAUACCAAGAGGUCUUGGUUUUUGAGUUGAAACUGGCUCAGCUACAGCAGCAGCAUCAACAACAGUGGAGCAUCAGUGCACAACACCAGCAACUUCAACAUCAUACUCUUUCAAAUCAGCAGUCUCAGACUUCAAAUCAUAGCAU
Molecule: long non-coding RNA, 503 nt
Organism: Vicia villosa (hairy vetch)
Lineage: Eukaryota; Viridiplantae; Streptophyta; Magnoliopsida; Fabales; Fabaceae
Exons: 4
Source: RefSeq, a predicted model, not a curated record